RNAcentral lists this transfer RNA (41 nucleotides) under Spermatophyta environmental sample. RNAcentral describes it as "partial tRNA-Leu". The record is from RNAcentral. Lineage: Eukaryota; Viridiplantae; Streptophyta.
AAAAUCCGUCGACUUUAAAAAUCGUGAGGGUUCAAGUCCUU